UACGUAGGGUGCAAGCGUUAAUCGGAAUUACUGGGCGUAAAGCGUGCGCAGGCGGUUUUGCAAGACAGUCGUGAAAUCCCCGGGCUUAACCUGGGAAUGGCGAUGGUGACUGCAAGGCUAGAGUGUGGCAGAGGGGGGUAGAAUUCCACGUGUAGCAGUGAAAUGCGUAGAGAUGUGGAGGAAUACCGAUGGCGAAGGCAGCCCCCUGGGCCAAUACUGACGCUCAUGCACGAAAGCGUGGGGAGCAAACAGG
Molecule: ribosomal RNA, 253 nt
Filed under: uncultured bacterium
Lineage: Bacteria
Description: partial 16S ribosomal RNA
Rfam family: Bacterial small subunit ribosomal RNA
Source: RNAcentral